GAAAGGUGUCCGAGCCUCGUGCAGUGACAGGGCUGACAGAGAGGGAGGCGGAGAGCACGUGCUCCCCAGACCUGGCGCCUCAACUCUGCGCUUGCGCAGUCAGCAAAACACUUUGGCGCCCAUAGACCCCACUCAGUCCGCCUGGAUCUGCACGUGCCCCGCCUCCAUACAGCAGAGUGCGCACGUGCCCUGCCUCCUCAGGACUCGGGCCCCAGUCUCCCUCCGGCUCUGCUGUCCCCCUUGUCUCUGGGGGUCUUCCUGUCCCUCCCCAAAAUUCAGGGGCGAGCCAGUCCCCUCCAUCCGUGGCCAUGAUGGCGCCACCCUGGUCCCUGGGAGAAAGAGUCCGAGCAGAGCCUCAGGAACGGAGCAGCGCCUGGAGAGCCAGGGGAGAACGAAAACCAGCUUGUUGUCCAUUCAGGAAAAGGACUUUCUGAUAAAGUUGAGAGAAAUUCGGUGAGCAGCACCAACGGGAUUGGCAGCAGAGAACUGGAAAGGAGAGGAUGCCCAUGGGUGGGGAAUGGCGGAAAAACAUGGCAGAAGGCUGCAGAGCCGGAAGAAAUGGCGACCACGAAUUGGGGAAAGCCUGAACUGAUGCAGAGUGAAGAGGGCAGAACCAGGAAAGCAGCGUAUACAGUAACAGGAAGUGAUCCUCAGGAGCAAAGACCCGGGAUAAAGAGCCAAAGAGGGAACUGGCACGACCCAUGUCAAAGCAGGCCACCUUCUGCUCCAUUUCCUUCGGGACUUCUCUGCCAUAUUGUGCCUGGUCUUUAGUCACCACACUGGAAAUAUGGAAAUGUGUAUUUUGCUGGUACAACCUAUGUUGGACUGUUGGGGGGGGGGGGAUCUGCACCAUCAUAAAAUGUCAGGAAACAGCUGUCAAAAAUUGUCUCUACAUGUCAUUGGAAAAAUAAAAUUUAAUUUAAAAAAGAGACCCUCA
RNAcentral lists this long non-coding RNA (937 nucleotides) under Monodelphis domestica (gray short-tailed opossum). Its description in RNAcentral is "lncRNA (ENSMODG00000048689.1)". The record is from RNAcentral. Lineage: Eukaryota; Metazoa; Chordata; Mammalia; Didelphimorphia; Didelphidae.